GCCAGUCUCUGCAUAAUAAAAUGAUUAUGAGCCUAAAUUUUACAAGUACCAGUCCGUUGAAUAUAGAAACGUGAUACUCAUGCUUUUCCAUCCUAAACAACAGAACUAUCUGCACUUCGAUUUACAAAUUCAUUGGCUUUUUCCGACAGUGCCCACAACUGUUAGUUGUUACAGGUAAAAAAAGCAGUAUGUGAUAGCGAACUCUCAGGAACGGUCGGGUUAGAAGAGGGAGGCCUAGGUGGAAGCGGGCUCUUCAGGAUUUGGAAUCGAAAACCGAUCUGACGGUGGAGAAUUUUCUUUGGAAGACUUGGGUUUCCGAGGGGGUCUGCGGCCCUUGAUUUCGGCACCGUUAAGGCUAGAAGAAGAAGAAAGUGGUGGAUCGACGAGAUGGGUAUCUCGCAAGACAGAGUUUCUUGGCUGCUUCACGUUAGAGAGGAAGAGCGAAAUUUUGGAGGUAUAGGAAGAGCGAAACGGAAUUUGAGAGAUAGGAAAUCGCAGGGUUUGAGGAAGACGAAGAAGAGAAGGGGAGAUGAGAGGCAGAGUAAACCGAUCGAGAAGAAAAAGGGGAAAGAAAUUUGAAAUAAAAGAGAACGUUGAGGUUGAAGAAGAGGGGAAAGAAAAUUGACCGUUGAGGUUAUUUAAUUUUUGGAUUAAAUAUUUUCUAUGAAAAUUAAAAAAGAAAAAGUUAAAAGGCAAA
Long non-coding RNA from Cucumis sativus (cucumber), 697 nucleotides. RefSeq lists it as uncharacterized. Lineage: Eukaryota; Viridiplantae; Streptophyta; Magnoliopsida; Cucurbitales; Cucurbitaceae. The record is from RefSeq and is a predicted model, not a curated record. The transcript has 2 exons.